Molecule: ribosomal RNA, 467 nt
Filed under: uncultured bacterium
Lineage: Bacteria
Description: partial 16S ribosomal RNA
Rfam family: Bacterial small subunit ribosomal RNA
Source: RNAcentral
GACGAACGCUGGCGGCGUGCUUAACACAUGCAAGUCGAACGGAAAGGCCCUGCUUUUGUGGGGUGCUCGAGUGGCGAACGGGUGAGUAACACGUGAGUAACCUGCCCUUGACUUUGGGAUAACUCAGGAAACUGGGGCUAAUACCGGAUAGGAGCUCCUGCUGCAUGGUGGGGGUUGGAAAGUUUCGGCGGUUGGGGAUGGACUCGCGGCUUAUCAGCUUGUUGGUGGGGUAGUGGCUUACCAAGGCUUUGACGGGUAGCCGGCCUGAGAGGGUGACCGGCCACAUUGGGACUGAGAUACGGCCCAGACUCCUACGGGAGGCAGCAGUGGGGAAUAUUGCACAAUGGGCGGAAGCCUGAUGCAGCAACGCCGCGUGCGGGAUGACGGCCUUCGGGUUGUAAACCGCUUUCGCCUGUGACGAAGCGUGAGUGACGGUAAUGGGUAAAGAAGCACCGGCUAACUACGUG